GUAAUUUGCCGACAGUCCGCCGGCGAAGAAGAUAAGCUUACCAAAGAAGAAAAAACACAAUCGCAACGGCGGGCCAACAUGGAGGCAGUUUUUAGGGAUGUUGUCAAAGUCAUAAUUAGAUGUCGACACUGUGAUGAAAGAAAAGCACGCAUCCGCGUCACCAUUGAGCGUCAGUCGAGCACAAGUGCCGUUUGCAAACGAGAUCUUCUGGUAAGAUUGACCAAUGACGAGGAUCCGCAUUUUUUCUUCAGCCUCACAAUUUCUGAGGAAGAUUUCCAAAGUUUGAAAGUCCAGCAUUGAUCCAGUUAUUGAUUGAAUUUGCGUCAUUCCCUGAGAUGCUGGUGCAGCUUCUUCGUCAAUGUCAGUCAGAGCAGAAUUGCAGCCAUCCCAGGUACUCCGCUGCCCCCCCCCCC
Syngnathus typhle (broad-nosed pipefish) is the source of this 413-nucleotide long non-coding RNA. RefSeq lists it as uncharacterized. The record is from RefSeq and is a predicted model, not a curated record. The transcript has 4 exons. NCBI's taxonomy places the organism in Eukaryota, Metazoa, Chordata, Actinopteri, Syngnathiformes, Syngnathidae.